RNAcentral lists this ribosomal RNA (700 nucleotides) under Anabaena sp. BC-Ana-0001. Its description in RNAcentral is "bacterial SSU rRNA". It matches the Rfam family "Bacterial small subunit ribosomal RNA", at positions 19 to 761 of the family's 1533-position model. Lineage: Bacteria; Bacillati; Cyanobacteriota; Cyanophyceae; Nostocales; Nostocaceae. The record is from RNAcentral.
CUGGCUCAGGAUGAACGCUGGCGGUAUGCUUAACACAUGCAAGUCGAACGGAAUCUUUAGGGAUUUAGUGGCGGACGGGUGAGUAACGCGUAAGAAUCUACCUUCAGGUUGGGGACAACCACUGGAAACGGUGGCUAAUACCGAAUGUGCCGAGAGGUGAAAGGCUUGCUGCCUGAAGAAGAGCUUGCGUCUGAUUAGCUAGUUGGUGGGGUAAGAGCCUACCAAGGCGACGAUCAGUAGCUGGUCUGAGAGGAUGAUCAGCCACACUGGGACUGGGACACGGCCCAGACUCCUACGGGAGGCAGCAGUGGGGAAUUUUCCGCAAUGGGCGAAAGCCUGACGGAGCAAUACCGCGUGAGGGAGGAAGGCUCUUGGGUUGUAAACCUCUUUUCUCAGGGAAGAAAAAAAUGACGGUACCUGAGGAAUAAGCAUCGGCUAACUCCGUGCCAGCAGCCGCGGUAAUACGGAGGAUGCAAGCGUUAUCCGGAAUGAUUGGGCGUAAAGGGUCCGCAGGUGGCAUUGUAUGUCUGCUGUUAAAGAGUCUGGCUCAACCAGAUCAAAGCAGUGGAAACUACAAAGCUAGAGUAUGGUCGGGGCAGAGGGAAUUCCUGGUGUAGCGGUGAAAUGCGUAGAUAUCAGGAAGAACACCGGUGGCGAAGGCGCUCUGCUAGGCCAAAACUGACACUGAGGGACGAAAGCU